GGCCUGCUUGCUCAGUCGGUUAGGGCGUCGUGCUAAUAACGCGAAAGUCGUAGGUUUGAUGCCUGCGCAGGCCA
Molecule: transfer RNA, 74 nt
Filed under: Dermacentor andersoni
Lineage: Eukaryota; Metazoa; Arthropoda; Arachnida; Ixodida; Ixodidae
Description: transfer RNA isoleucine (anticodon AAU)
Rfam family: tRNA
About the family: Transfer RNA (tRNA) molecules are approximately 80 nucleotides in length. Their secondary structure includes four short double-helical elements and three loops (D, anti-codon, and T loops).
Source: RNAcentral